UAUGCAGCAAAAGCAGAUGGAGAUGAAAGCCUCAGAAGUGCCACAGUCCCCUGUCAGAAAAAUAAGGACUUUGCAAAGAGUCAGUCUAAAACAGAGAAUGAGAAGCCUAAAGACAGUGAUGAGGAGCUGUGGGGAAAGUCUUUCACUCCAACUAUUGACAGCUUGUUGUAUGAAGACAAAAAUGUUUUCCAGGACUACUUAAAGCUGGUCCCUCUGGAGACAAAUCUAAUGUGUGUCGUUGGAAGAGCCAUGCCUAUUCACAAAGAACCAGAAGAAAUGCCAGGCAGGAGCCACACAGAAGAUGGCGUUACUGGUAAAUCAGACAGGCACAUCACAGCUCAGAUGAUCAAGGCCUUAUCUAAAGACGAGUUUGGUUAAAAAUAGACAAACCAACACAGAAAUGUAACAUUGUCAGUUCAUUAAGCAUUUGCUCUGUUCUUCAAGGAGCGUG
RNAcentral lists this long non-coding RNA (451 nucleotides) under Athene cunicularia (burrowing owl). Its description in RNAcentral is "lncRNA (ENSACUG00000000068.1)". The record is from RNAcentral. Lineage: Eukaryota; Metazoa; Chordata; Aves; Strigiformes; Strigidae.